GGAGAUUAAUUACCUGCAAAGGUGCCUGUUUAACUCUCCAUAGUGCUGGGUUAUGGAAUAGAUGUUACUAGCAAGCAUUUUGCUUAAUCACCUAAUUACGCAAAAAAUAAAUACAUUAUAUAAAAUACUAUGUUAAUUAAAUACAGCUGAGUGACAGUCUGCUCCACCCUAUCCAAAUACGCGCACACAGACAUUUAGCACUGCAGUUAGAAGCUUUCUCUCUCCAGUUCCACGUUCUGAAGCACUGGCAAAAAAAAAUUACUGAGUAACAGCACUGCUGGUUCGGCAGGCACAGACUGGGGCAGAGUUACCUGCCCAGGCCCGGCCCAGGAGGUGCUGUGGUAUUCAGUGCCAGUCACACAGGUUCACAAGGAGACAGGAGGGAUGUAGCACGAAUCCUUUCCUAUAUCCCACAUCUGAGGAUCGAGCCUGACAUGGGGCAAAAUUCAUUCUCUGUACGUGGAAUGGCAGCAGAAGAAAAGGAAGUCACUAAGUGGCAUAUGCUGGGACUGCCUGCCAAGCGUUUACACAAGUCCUUUAUAUCUGGAUGGGAUCCACAGGAAGCUUGUACAGGAAGGACUUUUCCUUCCUUAUUUUUGAAAAGCUUUGUUGGAUGGAAAUUAUGCCACUUUGUGAAGCUGAAGUAGAAAGUUUUCUUCUUUCUACCUCCCCUACGCAGCUUCUUGGAAAAAUACCUGGCAAGGAAUUUCAUGGAAAGUUAUGGAAAAACACCUACAUCUGAUUAUUCAAAACUAUUUUAAAAAAGCCUUUGAGGUUAUUUGGUCACUCUUCUGAAAGUUUACUAAUUCAUGCUGGACAAGAAAACCAAUCCUAGUCCUCACUUUCGAUCAUUUAUGUAAUUAAGUCUUGUGUCUACAGUUCAGUCCGGAUCCACAGUCUGCCCUAUCAGCAUUUAAAGCCACCAGAGGCACGUUACUGAUGUGUGCUGCUCUCUUAGAGUCACCCCAGGACUGGAACUGCAGAAAAGAAUACGUUCAUCUUUGGAAAAAGAACAUUUUGUAUUGUAGAGAUGCAGCAGUUUACACGAUCUUCGCCUGUUUACACUUGAGGAAAUAGUGUUAAGAUAACAUUUGUGCCUUGUAUUGGAAAUAAAGUAUUUAAAUUAUUGUACCUGCUGUUGUAU
RNAcentral lists this long non-coding RNA (1144 nucleotides) under Chrysolophus pictus (golden pheasant). Its description in RNAcentral is "lncRNA (ENSCPIG00010013077.1)". The record is from RNAcentral. Lineage: Eukaryota; Metazoa; Chordata; Aves; Galliformes; Phasianidae.